RNAcentral lists this ribosomal RNA (1884 nucleotides) under Triticum aestivum (bread wheat). Its description in RNAcentral is "partial small subunit ribosomal RNA". Lineage: Eukaryota; Viridiplantae; Streptophyta; Magnoliopsida; Poales; Poaceae. The record is from RNAcentral.
AUGGGCAACACCUGCGUCGGCCCCAGCAUCGGCAAGAACGGCUUCUUCCACUCCGUCUCCACCGUGCUCUGGACCAGGCGCCCCGACGGCGAAGCCCUGCCCGCCGCCAACGCCAACGCCAAUGGAGGCGUCGCGGACCGGGCCCCGCCGCCGGACGCGCCGCUGGCCGGCCACAUCGUGAGCAAGGCGCCCGAGCCCGUCAAGAUCGCCUCCGGCGCCGCCAACGCCAAGCCCGAUGAGGCGGCGCAACCCAAGCCCAAGGCCAAGCCGCCGGUGCAUCCCAAGCCCGCCCCCGCCAAGGAGCAGGAGUCCAAGGCGUCCACGGACUCGUCCAGCAGCUCCGGCUCCGGCUCCGGCGGCGAGGCCAAGCCGCCGCACCACCGGCCCAAGGUACCCCCGGUCAAGCGCGUGUCCAGCGCCGGCCUGCUCGUCGGCUCCGUGCUCAAGCGCAAGACGGAGAGCGUCAAGGAGAAGUACAGCCUGGGGCGGCGGCUCGGGCAGGGCCAGUUCGGCACCACCUACCUCUGCGUCGAGCGGAGCUCCGGCAAGGAGUACGCCUGCAAGUCCAUCCUCAAGCGCAAGCUCGUCACCGACGACGACGUGGAGGACGUGCGUCGGGAGAUCCAGAUAAUGUACCACCUGGCCGGCCACCCCAACGUCAUCUCCAUCCGGGGCGCCUACGAGGACGCCGUCGCCGUGCACCUCGUCAUGGAGCUCUGCGCCGGCGGCGAGCUCUUCGACAGGAUCGUGCAGAAGGGACACUACACCGAGCGGAAGGCCGCCGAGCUCGCCAGGGUCAUCGUCGGCGUCGUCGAGGUGUGCCACUCCAUGGGCGUCAUGCACCGGGACCUCAAGCCCGAGAACUUCCUCUUCGUCGACCAGACGGAGGAGGCCGCGCUCAAGACCAUCGACUUUGGUCUCUCCGUCUUCUUCCGGCCUGGUCAAAUAUUCACCGACGUUGUCGGAAGCCCCUACUAUGUCGCGCCGGAAGUCCUGAAGAAGAAAUAUGGCCCCGAGGCAGACGUCUGGAGCGCCGGUGUGAUCAUCUACAUUCUGUUGUGUGGCGUGCCGCCAUUUUGGGCAGAGAACGAGCAGGGCAUAUUCGAAGAGGUUCUACACGGGAAACUCGACUUCGAGUCAGAUCCAUGGCCCAGCAUCUCCGAAGGCGCCAAGGAUCUCGUGAGGAGAAUGCUCCUCAGGGACCCCAAGAAGAGACUGACUGCCCAUGAAGUUCUACGGCAUCCAUGGGUUCAGGUUGGCGGUCUGGCUCCUGACAAGCCUCUGGACUCUGCUGUUCUAUCCCGUAUGAAGCAGUUCUCGGCCAUGAACAAGCUGAAAAAGAUGGCUCUCAGGGUGAUUGCGGAGAACUUGUCCGAGGACGAGAUCGCCGGCCUCAAGGAGAUGUUCAAGAUGAUCGACUCGGACAACAGCGGGCAGAUCACGUACGAGGAGCUCAAGGUGGGGCUCAAGAAGGUGGGCGCCAACCUCCAGGAGUCGGAGAUCUACGCGCUCAUGCAGGCCGCGGACGUGGACAAGAGCGGGACGAUCGACUACGGUGAGUUCAUCGCGGCGACGCUGCACCUGAACAAGGUGGAGCGGGAGGACCACCUGUUCGCGGCGUUCCAGUACUUCGACAAGGACGGCAGCGGCUACAUCACCCCCGACGAGCUGCAGCUCGCGUGCGAGGAGUUCGGCCUCGGCUCCGACGACCUCAGCCUCGACAACAUGAUCAGAGAAGUCGACCAGGACAACGACGGGCGCAUAGACUACAACGAGUUCGUGGCGAUGAUGCAGAAGCCGGCGCUGGGGCUGGCGAAGAAGGCCGGGGCCGGGCUGGAGAGCAGCUUCAGCAUCGGCUUCAGGGAGGCGCUGAGGAUGGCUUGA